CAAAUUGAGAGUUUGAUCCUGGCUCAGGAUGAACGCUGGCGGCGUGCCUAAUACAUGCAAGUCGAACGCACAGCGAAAGGUGCUUGCACCUUUCAAGUGAGUGGCGAACGGGUGAGUAACACGUGGACAACCUGCCUCAAGGCUGGGGAUAACAUUUGGAAACAGAUGCUAAUACCGAAUAAAACUUAGUGUCGCAUGACACAAAGUUAAAAGGCGCUUCGGCGUCACCUAGAGAUGGAUCCGCGGUGCAUUAGUUAGUUGGUGGGGUAAAGGCCUACCAAGACAAUGAUGCAUAGCCGAGUUGAGAGACUGAUCGGCCACAUUGGGACUGAGACACGGCCCAAACUCCUACGGGAGGCUGCAGUAGGGAAUCUUCCACAAUGGGCGAAAGCCUGAUGGAGCAACGCCGCGUGUGUGAUGAAGGCUUUCGGGUCGUAAAGCACUGUUGUAUGGGAAGAACAGCUAGAAUAGGAAAUGAUUUUAGUUUGACGGUACCAUACCAGAAAGGGACGGCUAAAUACGUGCCAGCAGCCGCGGUAAUACGUAUGUCCCGAGCGUUAUCCGGAUUUAUUGGGCGUAAAGCGAGCGCAGACGGUUUAUUAAGUCUGAUGUGAAAGCCCGGAGCUCAACUCCGGAAUGGCAUUGGAAACUGGUUAACUUGAGUGCAGUAGAGGUAAGUGGAACUCCAUGUGUAGCGGUGGAAUGCGUAGAUAUAUGGAAGAACACCAGUGGCGAAGGCGGCUUACUGGACUGCAACUGACGUUGAGGCUCGAAAGUGUGGGUAGCAAACAGGAUUAGAUACCCUGGUAGUCCACACCGUAAACGAUGAACACUAGGUGUUAGGAGGUUUCCGCCUCUUAGUGCCGAAGCUAACGCAUUAAGUGUUCCGCCUGGGGAGUACGACCGCAAGGUUGAAACUCAAAGGAAUUGACGGGGACCCGCACAAGCGGUGGAGCAUGUGGUUUAAUUCGAAGCAACGCGAAGAACCUUACCAGGUCUUGACAUCCUUUGAAGCUUUUAGAGAUAGAAGUGUUCUCUUCGGAGACAAAGUGACAGGUGGUGCAUGGUCGUCGUCAGCUCGUGUCGUGAGAUGUUGGGUUAAGUCCCGCAACGAGCGCAACCCUUAUUGUUAGUUGCCAGCAUUCAGAUGGGCACUCUAGCGAGACUGCCGGUGACAAACCGGAGGAAGGCGGGGACGACGUCAGAUCAUCAUGCCCCUUAUGACCUGGGCUACACACGUGCUACAAUGGCGUAUACAACGAGUUGCCAACUCGCGAGGGUGAGCUAAUCUCUUAAAGUACGUCUCAGUUCGGAUUGUAGUCUGCAACUCGACUACAUGAAGUCGGAAUCGCUAGUAAUCGCGGAUCAGCACGCCGCGGUGAAUACGUUCCCGGGUCUUGUACACACCGCCCGUCACACCAUGGGAGUUUGUAAUGCCCAAAGCCGGUGGCCUAACCUUUUAGGAAGGAGCCGUCUAAGGCAGGACAGAUGACUGGGGUGAAGUCGUAACAAGGUAGCCGUAGGAGAACCUGCGGCUGGAUCACCUCCUUUCUAAGGA
Molecule: ribosomal RNA, 1558 nt
Filed under: Leuconostoc mesenteroides
Lineage: Bacteria; Bacillati; Bacillota; Bacilli; Lactobacillales; Lactobacillaceae
Description: bacterial SSU rRNA
Rfam family: Bacterial small subunit ribosomal RNA
Source: RNAcentral